UACGUAGGGGCCUAGCGUUGUCCGGAAUUAUUGGGCGUAAAGAGCUCGUAGGCGGCUCGUUGCGUCGGCUGUGAAAACCCGCAGCUCAACUGUGGGCUUGCAGCUGAUACGGGCGGGCUGGGAUUCGGUAGGGGAGACUGGAAUUCCUGGUGUAGCGGUGAAAUGCGCAGAUAUCAGGAGGAACACCGGUGGCGAAGGCGGGUCUCUGGGCCGAUAUCGACGCUGAGGAGCGAAAGCGUGGGGAGCGAACAGG
This 253-nucleotide ribosomal RNA is filed under the name uncultured bacterium. RNAcentral describes it as "partial 16S ribosomal RNA". It matches the Rfam family "Bacterial small subunit ribosomal RNA", at positions 524 to 776 of the family's 1533-position model. The record is from RNAcentral.